RNAcentral lists this ribosomal RNA (419 nucleotides) under Trachylepis perrotetii. RNAcentral describes it as "partial 16S ribosomal RNA". It matches the Rfam family "Bacterial large subunit ribosomal RNA", at positions 1969 to 2589 of the family's 2925-position model. Lineage: Eukaryota; Metazoa; Chordata; Lepidosauria; Squamata; Scincidae. The record is from RNAcentral.
UUGUCUUCUAAAUAAAGACCUGUAUGAACGGCUAAAUGAGGACAAAACUGUCUCUUAUAACAAAUCAGUGAAACUGAUCUCCCAGUACAAAAGCUGGGAUAAACACAUAAGACGAGAAGACCCCGUGGAGCUUAAAACAAACCACUACCACGCCAACCCUAGUAGAAUGUUUUGAGUUGGGGCGACUUCGGAAUAAAAUCAAACUUCCGAGCAUAGAACCACCACUUCCAACCAAGGCCAACAGGCCGAAACCAUAACAUGACCCGGCCAAGAUGCCGACUAACGAACCAAGUUACCCCGGGGAUAACAGCGCUAUCUUCUUCAAGAGUCCCUAUCAACAAGAAGGUUUACGACCUCGAUGUUGGAUCAGGACACCCAAAUGGUGCAGCCGCUAUUAAAGGUUCGUUUGUUCAACGAUU